CUACGGGCGGCUGCAGUGAGGAAUAUUGCGCAAUGGGGGAAACCCUGACGCAGCGACGCCGCGUGGAUGAUGAAGGCCUUAGGGUCGUAAAAUCCUGUCAGGUGGGAAGAAGUGGAUAUAGAUUAAUACUCUAUUUCUUUGACGGUACCACCAAAGGAAGCACCGGCUAACUCCGUGCCAGCAGCCGCGGUAAUACGGAGGGUGCAAACGUUGUUCGGAAUUACUGGGCGUAAGGCGCGCGUAGGCGGUCUGUUAAGUCAGAUGUGAAAGCCCAUGGCUCAACCAUGGACGUGCAUUUGAUACUGACAGACUUGAGUACGGGAGGGGAUGGUGGAAUUCCCGGUGUAGAGGUGAAAUUCGUAGAUAUCGGGAGGAAUACCGGUGGCGAAGGCGACCAUCUGGCCAGAUACUGACGCUGAGGUGCGAAAGCGUGGGGAGCAAACAGGAUUAGAUACCCUUGUAGUC
This 465-nucleotide ribosomal RNA is filed under the name uncultured bacterium. RNAcentral describes it as "partial 16S ribosomal RNA". It matches the Rfam family "Bacterial small subunit ribosomal RNA", at positions 339 to 795 of the family's 1533-position model. The record is from RNAcentral.